This 497-nucleotide ribosomal RNA is filed under the name uncultured bacterium. Its description in RNAcentral is "partial 16S ribosomal RNA". It matches the Rfam family "Bacterial small subunit ribosomal RNA", at positions 28 to 507 of the family's 1533-position model. The record is from RNAcentral.
GAUGAACGCUGGCGGCGUGCCUAAUACAUGCAAGUCGAGCGAACGGACGAGAAGCUUGCUUCUCUGAUGUUAGCGGCGGACGGGUGAGUAACACGUGGAUAACCUACCUAUAAGACUGGGAUAACUUCGGGAAACCGGAGCUAAUACCGGAUAAUAUUUUGAACCGAAUGGUUCAAAAGUGAAAGACGGUCUUGCUGUCACUUAUAGAUGGAUCCGCGCUGCAUUAGCUAGUUGGUAAGGUAACGGCUUACCAAGGCAACGAUGCAUAGCCGACCUGAGAGGGUGAUCGGCCACACUGGAACUGAGACACGGUCCAGACUCCUACGGGAGGCAGCAGUAGGGAAUCUUCCGCAAAGGGCGAAAGCCUGACGGAGCAACGCCGCGUGAGUGAUGAAGGUCUUCGGAUCGUAAAACUCUGUUAUUAGGGAAGAACAUAUGUGUAAGUAACUGUGCACAUCUUGACGGUACCUAAUCAGAAAGCCACGGCUAACUACGUG